GACGAACGCUGGCGGCGUGCUUAACACAUGCAAGUCGAACGGAAAGGCCCUGCUUUUGUGGGGUGCUCGAGUGGCGAACGGGUGAGUAACACGUGAGUAACCUGCCCUUGACUUUGGGAUAACUUCAGGAAACUGGGGCUAAUACCGGAUAGGAGCUCCUGCUGCAUGGUGGGGGUUGGAAAGUUUCGGCGGUUGGGGAUGGACUCGCGGCUUAUCAGCUUGUUGGUGGGGUAGUGGCUUACCAAGGCUUUGACGGGUAGCCGGCCUGAGAGGGUGACCGGCCAGAGUGGGACGGAGAUACGGCCGAGACUCCCACGGGAGGCAGCAGUGGGGAAGAGUGCACAAGGGGCGGAGGCCGGAUGCAGCAACGCCGCGUGCGGGAGGACGGCCGUGGGGUUGGAAACCGCUUGCGCCGGUGACGAAGCGUGAGUGACGGGAAUGGGUAAAGAAGCACCGGAUAACGACGUG
This 468-nucleotide ribosomal RNA is filed under the name uncultured bacterium. RNAcentral's name for it is "partial 16S ribosomal RNA". It matches the Rfam family "Bacterial small subunit ribosomal RNA", at positions 28 to 507 of the family's 1533-position model. The record is from RNAcentral.